This is a non-coding RNA of Pelobates cultripes (western spadefoot toad), 706 nucleotides long. NCBI's taxonomy places the organism in Eukaryota, Metazoa, Chordata, Amphibia, Anura, Pelobatidae. The record is from the annotation of a GenBank genome assembly.
GUUAUUCUCAAUCGUGAGGAAAUCGUCCAGAUAGUGGACUUGCACACAUUUCGUAACAACCAACAUAAAGCUUCUCAAACGUGUCAAAAAUACGUGGGCUGCUUUUGGAGCCAAAAGUUAGUCGGGUGAAGAAAUAAUACAUCCCCUGCCAUUUAAUUCCGUGUCGAUGCCAUAGGGAAGGAUGCAUGGGUAGUAAUUUAAAAGCGUUUACCACGUCGGUUUUACUAAGCCAUGCUCCUGUGCCAGCUUGAAGAAUGGCCCGCUAUGGCCUGGUCGAUAGUGGCAUAGUGGAGUGAAAAUUCUUCGGAAGGUAUUAGAGAGUUAAGGCUGGGGACAGUGGAGGUAUGUGGUGCAGAUAAAUCAAUUAUCAGUCUGGGUUUGAGUGAGGUCUUCCCUGUGACCACCCCUAUGGGAUUGGUUCUCCAAGAUGUGAAGGGUGGGGAAAAGAAUGACCCCAACAGAAACCCUUGUUUCACCUCGGUCGAGAUAAGAGUGUUUACCAACUGUGGAUCGUCUAACGUGGAUUGUAGGUUGUCGCAUUCCAGUGUACCGGGGGGUAAAUGGACCAACCCGGUGUGAAACCCUUCAGUCAUUCCCGUAAUAAUAUAGUCCGUGAAAUGACGUGAUGGGUGUAGUUGUAAUAGCGAGCUCAAUAAUGUGAUGUUCACACACGUGUGAUACGGUUUGUGGAAUGCUUUAUUCGGGC